Molecule: ribosomal RNA, 379 nt
Filed under: uncultured eukaryote
Lineage: Eukaryota
Description: partial 18S ribosomal RNA
Rfam family: Eukaryotic small subunit ribosomal RNA
Source: RNAcentral
CAACAGCGUAUAUUAAAGUUGUUGCAGUUAAAACGCUCGUAGUCGGAUUUCGGGGCGGGCGGGCCGGUCUGCCGAUGGGUAUGCACUGGUCUGGCCGUCCUUCCUUCCGGAGACCGUGCGUGCUCUUAACUGAGUGCGCUCGGGAGACGGAUCGUUUACUUUGAAAAAAUCAGAGUGUUUCAAGCAGGCAGCUCGCUCUUGCAUGGAUUAGCAUGGGAUAAUGAAAUAGGACUUUGGUGCUAUUUUGUUGGUUUCGAACACCGAAGUAAUGAUUAACAGGGACAGUCAGGGGCACUCGUAUUCCGCCGAGAGAGGUGAAAUUCUCAGACCAGCGGAAGACGAACCACUGCGAANGNAUUUGCNAGGGAUGUUUNCACUG